This 293-nucleotide long non-coding RNA is filed under the name Solanum lycopersicum (tomato). RNAcentral describes it as "long non-coding RNA (SLYC_LNC001364)". Lineage: Eukaryota; Viridiplantae; Streptophyta; Magnoliopsida; Solanales; Solanaceae. The record is from RNAcentral.
AAGAAUUGGAAUUGGAGGACCGAUGGGGACCUAAUGUUGAAUGGUGCAUUUUUUACGCGAUCAGGAGUUAGAACUGGUUCAUCAAGUUAUGCUAAAGCUUCGAGUUUGAGUGCAAGGCCGUCUUCAUUAGUAGCCAAUCUUGUGUCUAGUUCUGGUGCACUCAACUGUAAAAAGGGUUCUCGUUGCUAAUUAUUAUUAUUAUUUCCUAAAAAAGACACAAGAACCAAAGCAAAAGGGGAUUAAUUAUUUAACUUGGUUUUGAAAAAAGAAAAAGGAUGUAAUUUGAAGAAAAA